AGCCGCCGCGGGAAUACGUAGGGUGCAAGCGUUAUCCGGAAUUAUUGGGCGUAAAGAGCUCGUAGGCGGUUUGUCGCGUCUGCUGUGAAAACUGGAGGCUCAACCUCCAGCCUGCAGUGGGUACGGGCAGACUAGAGUGCGGUAGGGGAGAUUGGAAUUCCUGGUGUAGCGGUGGAAUGCGCAGAUAUCAGGAGGAACACCGAUGGCGAAGGCAGAUCUCUGGGCCGUAACUGACGCUGAGGAGCGAAAGCGUGGGGAGCGAACAGGAUUAGAUACCCCUGUAGUCCCUGUCUCUUAUACU
Molecule: ribosomal RNA, 301 nt
Filed under: uncultured bacterium
Lineage: Bacteria
Description: partial 16S ribosomal RNA
Rfam family: Bacterial small subunit ribosomal RNA
Source: RNAcentral